AUGACGCUGUGGCUGCAAAUGACAAGGGUUAACAGCCAACUAGGACAAGAGAAUCUUCAGGUUCUGAGCAUCCAGGAGGGUGAAGACGUCACUGUGAACUGCAGUUACAAGACAUCCACAUUGGCCUUACAGUGGUACAGACAGGAGUCCAGCAAAGGCCCUGCCCUGCUCGUGUUGAUACGCUCAAAUGAGAGAGAGAAACUUCACGGAAGACUAAGAGCCACUCUUGACACCUCCACCCAGAGCAGUUCCCUGUCCAUCACUGCUGUCCUGGCUGUAGACGCUGGUGUAUACUUCUGUGCUACAGAUGCACAGUGUGCAGCAGGCACCUGCAGUCCUGACACAAACCCCCAGAGCUGCUGCCUAAACCCUGACAGAGGGUGA
Acomys russatus (golden spiny mouse) is the source of this 384-nucleotide non-coding RNA. The record is from the annotation of a RefSeq genome assembly. Lineage: Eukaryota; Metazoa; Chordata; Mammalia; Rodentia; Muridae.